RNAcentral lists this long non-coding RNA (1052 nucleotides) under Serinus canaria (Common canary). RNAcentral describes it as "lncRNA (ENSSCAG00000009641.1)". The record is from RNAcentral. Lineage: Eukaryota; Metazoa; Chordata; Aves; Passeriformes; Fringillidae.
GAGCUUGGGUUGCUCCAUUUGCAUCCAAGGAGUGUUACUUACGGGCUGAAAAUCUCUGUGGAGGAUGAGGAACUCCUUUGGAGAAUCAGAUACUGCUGGGAAAGGGAAAGAGAUGCUCACUUCAAAAAGCACCAGUGUCUUAGUUUUUGCUCCUGACUGUCUGCUCUGGCACGUGACCAACCUGGGAGCUGGUGAGCACUGCCUCUCAGAUCCCCAGCCAAAGGUCAGUAGCUGCAUGGUGGCCUCUGGAUUCCUUGGAUACCGACCCUUGUCAUGUGGGGAGGCAUUAACCUUUGGCCCUGACAACAAGCAGACACAAGUGACUAAUUGGAGCAGGGCUGCACCAGCAGCUUCUUGCAGUCAGGACAACAUGAAAAACACACAUCAUUUUUAUACAGCACACCACGUGUCAAUUGACUGCAAGAUGAAAUAACAGGACACAGGCACUUGCAAUCUCUUUUCUGCAUCUCUUACUAUUCAAAAGAACAAAAGCAAUACAGGCUUGGAGUUGAGGGUCCCAAAGUGGCCAGUCCCCUUUGGUCAGAGCACUUCCAGCUUCAAGUCCCUACUGGGAAAUCUCUCCCUUUGAAGUACAUCUCACUUGGGCAGGAGCCAAUGUCAGGAGGAGGAAGCUAUUAGCUUGUAAAGAGAACCCCACAGGUGAAGUUUGACCUCCUGCUGGUUUCUUUGCUUGCAGGUAUUUCCUGUGGGUGCUUUAAAAACAGAUGGUAUUGUGGGUUUUGCUGGUGCCACCUGCUAGUGGACAAUGCUCUGUGUCAAAAGGAACAGGGAAUUUAGAAGAGUAGGCUUUAAAACAUUACAUUGGUGUGUUUUAGCCUGCCUGCAUGCUUUUAAAAUUGUGCCAAAGUGUUUUAAAAGGACAGAUAAGCUCAUCUUUGUGUGGGUUAGUCUUUGUCCUGGAGCUAGCAGCCCAGGAGGAGGGCAGUGAUGGUGGGAGCAGAGUGAUGCUGCCAAAGGAUGUGAAGCCCCACUUGAGCACCUGUGCUUUAUGAGCAGAGGUUAUAUCAGGGCUGGUAGGAUUUACAGCUGUC